RNAcentral lists this ribosomal RNA (273 nucleotides) under Triticum aestivum (bread wheat). RNAcentral's name for it is "partial small subunit ribosomal RNA". The record is from RNAcentral. Lineage: Eukaryota; Viridiplantae; Streptophyta; Magnoliopsida; Poales; Poaceae.
AUGAUAAGAGACUUUUGGUGGGGUGAUGAAGAGGGACACGGGAGAGUGCACUGGAUGUCGUGGGAAAGAAUGACAAAACCGAAGAGAGCCAGGGGCAUUGGAUUCAGAGACAUGCAAUUGUUUAGUCAGGCCCUCCUAGAAAAACAAGGGUGGAGGCUUAUUCAAAAUCCAGAGAGCCUAUGUGCAAGAGUGCUCAAAGCAAAGUACUAUCCACAUGGUAACUUGUUGGACAUUGUUCACGUCGGAUGCAUCACCUGUUUGGAGGGCCAUUGA